Molecule: long non-coding RNA, 4525 nt
Filed under: Nicotiana tabacum (common tobacco)
Lineage: Eukaryota; Viridiplantae; Streptophyta; Magnoliopsida; Solanales; Solanaceae
Description: long non-coding RNA (NTAB_LNC012310)
Source: RNAcentral
UUACAACUUAGACGAUAGAGUACCAUUAGAGAACUCUACCGUAUUUUUUCUUAAUUGCUCUCCUUCUCUGGUUUUUCUCAAUUCUCCUUACCCUUUUUUUUACACUAUUCCGUUUUUCAUUCUCUCAUUAGAGAUCAGAAACCGUGGUUCUGAUUAGUAUUUACUCCAAUAAGUGUUCUAUGUGAGUAAUUUAUUAAUUUAAGGAGCUUGAGAUGUUAAACUACGGAUUGAAAAAUUUGCUAAAGAAACGAGCGAUGACUCCAAGAAACUACCAUAGUGAUCAUUGGCCCUCAUAUUUGAGAGGUAAGGGCUGAACUUCUUAUUAAUUCUCGAGUAAAUUACAACAAGUAUUUGUGGUUAUUGCUUUCACUGCAUCCGUUACUUCAUCGCGGUUUUUCUUCGCUCCUAUUUCUUUUUUUUUAUUUUUUAUUGUAGCCUUAUGUUGAUUAUGGGAAUUUGAUGGUCAUUUGUUGGUAGUCCCCUUCUUUAGGCUCUUUUGUUGCUUAAUUCAGGUAAUGCAUGUCAAUCGUUGUGCCUAAUUUUGAUAUGCCUAUCAUUAUCUAGCUGAAAAGGUAAUAAUUUGAUAGUAAAUCUUGCCUGUUAUUAUGUUGCUGAAAUAUUAAAAAUGUGAUAGUAAACUUUGCCUGUUUAAGUAUGUUCAAAGUGACAUUUCCAUGUGAAGUCAAUAUGAUGAACCUUAACAACUGCUUUAUUUUCAUCUGUAUCCAUGAAGAAUGAAACCAUUUGUUUAAUGACUUAAAAAGGUCCACUUAGAAUAUGUUUUGAACUCAUCCUCUAUGUCAAGUUCUAAAAAGGAUAAAUAUAAUGAAAUCCUUAACCCGAACAUCAAAAAUAAAGAGAAAAGGAGCGAUUGAAAAAAAGAAAGUGAAAAGGAGCAACAAAUAUGGAAAAAUGAAAAUGGAUGUAUGACUUAAAUUAAGGAUGAGAAUUUUUGGCAGGUUUUGAUUUGGAUGUCAACAUAUGCCCUGCAACCUUCAUCGGCUUCACCACCCUUUUGUUCCCAAUUUUCAAUGCUUAUAGCCAACAUUCUCUUUCUUAACAUUCAGAAAAGCCUAGAACCAAUUAUUUUCGACAAAUUUUAAGAAUUAUGGGAGGACCGAUUAGUGACGUUGUGUGAUAGUGAUUAAAAAUAGAAAGCUAAAGAGAUGUUAUGAGAAGAAAAGUGAAGACGUCUCCAGUCAUCAAUGACCAAACUUCAGUAGUUUCAUGGCCAAAAAAAUUUCAAAUCUUGGCUUCAUUAAAGUUCAAGAACCAAGUCUGCAAUUAGAUUAUCAACAUCUACUCAAAAGACUUCACAUAACAGAUAUUCAACAUUAAAAAACUUGAAAAGAUAUAUGUGUGCUCCCAAUUUUCUGUUAUGUUUUAUGCUUUCAGACGUACGAGGUUACAUAAAUUUUAGAUCGUAUAAGAUCAGAAUUCAGUCUUUGGCUAUAUGAGUGUUCUAAUUCAGCUCUUCUAUUAGUUCACUAGGUUCAAUGUCUCAAUAAUGGUGAAAAAAUUAUAGAAAAAAAAAAGUCAUGCUCAUUAUAGAGGUUUAAGGCACUAUUAAACAGGAAGAUAUUUACUUUUUCUUUGCUUUGCUAAAAAAUGCUACCUUUGAGCUUUGUCUAGAUGGUCAUAAUACACGUGAACAACAAAUUGCUGAAAUAAGUGUCUUCAUUAGGUUGGCUGCAGGGUUGGCAGAGUUAGAUUUAGUUGGGGCACUCGAAGAUAUUAAGGAGCCAUUGAUUAUUCUUCACAAUCAUCCCGUUGUAAGUUGAUUAUUUGUUAAUGUAGCUUUAAAUUAUACAUGAAACACAGGGUUUGUGAUUAAAGUUAACUUGAAGGCACAUUAGCUUUUUAAUUAUGAGCUCAUGGUCCCCCUAUUUUUAUCAGAGAGCAUAAACAAAUUUAUAUGAUUGCAUAAUAUCUUCAUUCACUUUCUGGUUAGUGUAGGAAGAGAAUUUUUAAGUCAUAGUGGAAUUGUGCAACUCAAACUACUGCUGACAAGAUCAAGGCUUGGAAUUUGAAAAAUUCUCCAAUCUAUCGGAAAAGGAAGAUAUGUAAUGUUAUGUUUUCCAAUUGUUAAUUUCAAUACAAUAUAGGUGUUUCCAUUGUUCUCUAUUGUAAUAACAAUAAAGAUCUUCUGGUUUACUGUUUGAAAUAUUGUUAUGACGAGUAAUGUUGCAAGAAAUUCUAUGGGUUACCAUUCCCCCCCUCAAAAUGAGUGUUGUAACGUGUCAAUUCAAAAAAUAUAUUGUAAUGCCAGUGAUCAUUUAGGACGUAGGAUCUGCUGUCCAUCUGUGUUAGGAGAUUGACAGAAUGGUUCUUUAUCAUUGCACCAAGCAGAUUCUCUCAUGAACUUUGUGUAUAUUUCACAUAUUUUGACUGUUGCCCCUUUUGGAUUAGGAGAAGGCAAAAAAUGGAAAGAAAGCAAAAGCAAAAUCCAGCAGAGAAGAAUCGCAUGCUGUAGUAGUAAAUAUUCUGAAAGAAGUGGAGGUCAAUGCUGUAAGUUAUACUAUUUUCUCCAAAGCAUAGUAGCACGUAUUCUAAAAAAGUGGAUAUAGCAGUAUAAGUGGUACUAUUUUUAAUUUGGAGAAGUACUUGAUCUUCAUACAUUUGACUCUCCUAGAAUUUUUCUUAGCUUUAGAAACAUGAAUUCACUUUUAAGUCAGUUUUGAGGUACAAUUAAAUUCAGAGAAAUCUAUAUCUUUUUCAGAAAGGGAAUUAAAAUUUUCCCUAAUAGUAGAAAACAGUUGAUACAUCACCCAUAUUUUAUUAUUAAUAAGGCAAAAGAUCCUCCUCAGUCUGAAUUACUGUUGAUCAUCUCUAUGUUACUCCAUCUCUAUAUUCGAAAGAAACUAUUGUGUAUUUUUUUAAAGUAGUACUUCUAUAUUAGUAACUAAUCUGUCAGAUUGGUGCUUAGUGCACGGUUAUAUAAUAGAAAUUGAAGAAGAAUAAAAUAAACAAAAAAGUUACAACAAUAAUAAUUUAUCCAAGCAUAAAUCUGUGAAGUUUUUAUUUGGUCAUCUUUGGUUGCUAUAAUUUCUUUUCAUACAAUUUGAUGUAUUCGCACUUAAAACAUGUUGAACAUUUAAUCUAUACGGAGCUAGCACUACUCAAAUGCACCACCGUUAUGUUUUCCUCUUCCCUUCAUGUAUAGCACUUACUUUACUUAUUAUUACUGCCAGCUUAGCUAAAAUGUUGUGGUUAUACUGUGGGUUCCAUAAUUUUUUGUGAUGUUUUUGUUGAUACUUAUACCUUCCCUUUGAAGGAUUGCUUUCUUACUCGAUAUGAAAAAUAAUUACUAUGUGUCUUUUAGCCUAUGCUAGCUCUUGGCUUUUGAGGUAGAGUGGAAGAGUCACGCUAUUUAAUUUCAUAAGUUUCUUUUAUUUCAAGUAUAAUGCAAGGUUUUGUACUUGCUGUCUUUCUGUAGUUUCUUUAAGUUAAGGAUUCAUAUAAGGCAUUUUAUUAUAUAAUUGUCAAAUUUAAUUCGAAUAGUCAAAUUACAUUUUGAUGGGUAGAUUCUUGGCAGGGAGAAUAAUAUUUUAUUCUUAGGUUCAAGAAAUUUAAGAGAACAGAUAGAGAAAUUUAAGCACGUCAAGAUGUAGCACUAAAACUGUGAACAAUCUAAGGUCACAGUCUUUCACUAGGAAGACAUACUCUAUCAAGUUAUCAACUAUAUAUGUAUAUCAGACAGUAGUCUUAACUUUUGAGAAGAGUAGCAUGGCUCACUAUAAAUCUGUAUUAUUUAUUGAACUUAGACUAACAUAUUUAAUGCUAAUCUAAAUUGAGUAACCGGACUGGUGAAGAUAUAUUUUGUACAUUGAUGAUAAAGUAUUGUAGAUUUUAUGUUGCUCCUCUUUUAACAGAAUAUAAUCUUCUUACCUCAAGCCUUCCUCUGCCACUGGCAGUAGAAACUUGCAUGGAAAUGUAAUGAUCCACUCAAAGUUAUUGGUUUUGUUUGGACAGCUACACUACUGACACAGGCGAACUUGCAGGGAAGAGGUUACUUUUUAUGCAAUUGAUGUCACCUUUCCUCCAUUCUCUCUAAAGAGAUUAGCCAUUUCUUUUUUGCACUGUUCUAUAGCUACUAAACUAUGCAAAUAUUCUUAUUUCUUUUUGAAGAUCGUGGCUGGUGAUCUUUAGUCGACUCCAGAACUGGCUAAUAAUGAAGAUGGGAACAUAAGGCCAUCUCGGACACUAUUAUACUGUAGACAAUUUGGAAGAAAAAAAAAUCCAAUGUUCAAAAGAUACUGAAUCUACAACAUAGCCACGGGAAUACAAAUGUCUUCAACUGUUAGCUUCUUGGACCUAAUUUAUAUGAUGUAUAUAGCUUAGACACUCUUUUUAGUUCCUUCAUAACAUUCAAGAACUCUGUAGGACCCCAUGGUUGUUUUUCCAGCUUCUGUAUCUUUUGUAAUUCUAUGGAUGUACUCAUAUCAACACCUAUUUGGUGUGACAUACUUAACAGCUUGAUUACUUAUCAAAAGAAAGGAUUCCGGAAUAUGCUACUGUAGUGUUG